Molecule: small RNA, 504 nt
Filed under: Oryza sativa Japonica Group (Japanese rice)
Lineage: Eukaryota; Viridiplantae; Streptophyta; Magnoliopsida; Poales; Poaceae
Description: sRNA Os06g0233451
Source: RNAcentral
CGGCGGGCAGAAGUCCACGCGGUAGUUGGUGCCGGCGGGGCAGGUGAAGGUGCUGGUCUAGUCGUCCUUGGCGUAGCUGUAGGCGUCAGGGCAUAGCCCCCUGAAGAACAUGGAGUAGCUCGGCAGACGUGCUCGAAGCCUCGAACUGGCCCCGGCAGCAGUUGGUGUCGCCGCGCCGAACUUGCCGCACGCACUAGCGCAGCCGCCUGCCGCCUGGGACACGGAGCUCGGGGAGGCACGUACCUCGCCGUGAUGUCCACGGCACCGCCGCCGUUGGUCGUCUGGAAGCUCACCGGCACGGCGGCACGUUGAACCCGUCGACGAGCGACAGGUCGAGGAAGUCGUCGCCGGCGCCGGGUCAGGAGCCGAGCGUGUAGCCGUGUACUCGGGCAGCGUGGUGGGCGGCUCACCGGAGGCGGAGCAGGACAGCACGCUGGCGCAGUCGCCCGUGACGCAGCGGCCGCGGCCGCUGCCGUCGAAGGAGCCGCCCGUGCGCUCCGCUCC